Molecule: ribosomal RNA, 272 nt
Filed under: uncultured eukaryote
Lineage: Eukaryota
Description: partial small subunit ribosomal RNA
Rfam family: Eukaryotic small subunit ribosomal RNA
Source: RNAcentral
AGGGCACCACCAAGAGUGGAGCCUGCGGCUUAAUUUGACUCAACACGGGGAAACUUACUAGGUCCAGACAUAGCAAGGAUUGAUAGACUGAGAGCUCUUUCUUGAUUCUAUGGGUGGUGGUGCAUGGCUAUUCUUAGUUGGUGGAGCGAUUUGUCUGGUUAAUUCCGAUAACGACCGAGACCUCAGCCUGCUAACUAGCUACGCGGAGGCAUCCCUCUGCGGCUAGCUUCUUAGAGGGACUAUGGUCGUUUAGGCCACGGAAGUUUGAGGCA